RNAcentral lists this long non-coding RNA (2989 nucleotides) under Homo sapiens (human). Its description in RNAcentral is "HSALNT0100050". The record is from RNAcentral. Lineage: Eukaryota; Metazoa; Chordata; Mammalia; Primates; Hominidae.
GCCGGACUCUGCAUGAGUCACCGCCUGCCUGCAAGCCCAGAGCUCGCCGCACCCCCCUGCCUCUCCGCACCGUCCCACAGGCUGUGACCCUCCACCCAGCCAUAGACGGUUCUGCUCUUGGCACAAAGGAGGGCUUCUUAGCCGGGAAUAUGGCUGCCCGGGAGGGGCGACUUCUGUGCUUGUUUUUCCUUCCUGGCACUGAAAACAAGCACAUCCACCCAACAAAUAAAGACGCGGUCAAUGAAAGCAGCUGUGUUUCAAGGGGAGACAGGGAGCAAGCCAAGGAAUAAAUGAAAAGACCCAGUGACAAAAUGCCCAUUCAUCGGGUUCACUCGGCAAACAUUUACUGAAGCAUCUGUGUGCCAGGCACUGUCCUGAGUGCUGGGAAGACACAAAGAUGCCCUUCAGAACGAUGACCCCCGCCUCGCCCUCCGCUGGAACCGGGAGGCAGACACACACAUAAAUACGACACAGUCAACCGUCCCCAGUUCACAGCAUCUAAAGGAGCUAGGAAUGCAUGGGAUGCUUAUGGAAUGUGCGAGAACACGGGUGAGUCUCACAAAAAGAAUGUACACGGAGUACAUACUGUCGGAUUCCAUUUCUAUCAACUCCUGAAGCCUGCAGAGCUAACACCUACUGCUGGAGGGCAAGGCAGUAGCUGCUUGUUGGGGUAGGAGAUGAGGAGAACACCAAGUGGGCUUCUGGAAUGCUGGACACCCGUGUAGAGACAAAGUCUCACUGUGUUCCCAGGCUGAUCCCCAACUCCUGAGCUCAAGCCAGCCACCAGCCUUGGCCUCCCAAAGUGCUGGGAUUACAGGCGUGAGCCACCACGCCGGGCCCAGAUGAACAGACUUCAUGGCUGAGACAGAGCUGAGAGCAGAGAAAACAGACUCAUAAAAUCCUGGCAGAAUCUUUCCAUUCUAAUAGAGAAAAGAGGAAGGUAUGGAAAAGAGUGAAAUUGGCAUAAAAAAUCCAAUAAAGGGCAACGAGCAGGAAACAACAAAAACAUGGGAAACUGCCGACCUGAGGAAUCGCGCUCUUCUAACUUUACAGCUUCACCUGCCGUGUUUGCUCCUGGAGGACUGAGACUUUUGUCUGAUUCGUCUGCUGCUGUCUUCCCGAUGCCUAGAACACUGCCUGAUGCACGGGAAGUAUUUGUCAGAUACAUCCCAUGGCUUCUAAUGCCAUUUGCAAGGAUGAAAGCUGGGUGUGCCCGGCUGUACGGCAAUACUUCCAAAGGCCUGUAGGACUCCCCAGUGACUGUCCCAUUCACCAGGAGGAGGACUGCAGUCACCUGCAUUGUCCUGGGAAGGUCAGCCAGGCCUUUUCCCAAUGUCUGUCUGGGAAAAGCCCCGGUGUAGUCUGCUCGGUCCUACACCCAGAAUCACGGGGGCUUCAGGAGCAGGCAUUACGAGGCAAGGAGUAGCUUCUCCCCCUCACCUCCCACUCAGCAGAACGCACUAGCCCUGUGCUCUUCUGAUCCUGAAGGCAGCUGAGUCUGAAAAGUUCCUGUACCUUUAAAGGUACUAGAGGCAGUGUGGUGCCCACUCAGGAACUGCAUGAUUUAAAUAGGUUUCUAGGAUAAAGGCAACUCGUAGCACAAAGGAACAAGUCCCAGGGAGUGGCAUUCCAGAUCAUUUGAUUCCUGAGCGAAGGAAUUAUUAUGGUGUGGAGGUGGGGACCUCCUUACUACAUUCCAAAUUGCAAUAAGGUUGUAAGGGUUUUCUCUUCCAUUCUGAAGUACUUUGACAAUAGUUUUGAACUUCAAAAAUGUUUAUUAAAGGUGUUUUCACAGCAGUUUCAUAAUGUUUAAUUUGUUAAUUACUGGAAUUGAUGCUAAAUAAAACAGGCAAGUAAUACUUCAGAUGGCUUCAUCUUCAGAGUCUUCUUCAUGUGUGACUCAAAAUGCACAAUUUUGGCCGGGCACAGUGGCUCACGCCUGUAAUCCCAGCACUUUGGGAGGCUGAGACAGGCGGAUCACCUGAGGUCAGGAGUUUGAGACCAGUUUGGCCAACAUGGUGAAACCCCAUCUCUACUAAAAAUACAAAAAUUAGAUGGGCAUGGUGGUGUGUGCCUGUAAUCCCAGCUGCUUGGGAAGCUGAGGCAGGAGAAUUGAUUGAACCCAAGAGGCGGGGCUUGCAGUGAGCCGAGAUCCCGCUCCAGCCUGGGCAACAAGAGCGAGACUCCGUCUCAAAAAAAGAAAAAAAAAGCACAAUUUCAGGACAGCCUAAGCAAAUAAAAAAUGGGAAAUGGAAAUGGAUUCGAAGCAGGGAGGACGUUCCGCCCACUGUCACACCGAAGGAAUGGUGGAGGCUGUGAGUCCUCCGCCCACUGUCACACCGAAGGAUGGUGGAGGCUGUGAGUCCUCCUGUAAGCCGCCGCUGGAGAAGGGGCAGCUCUGGAACCUGACGACAUUCUCCUAUCUUGCAUGAGGUGGAGACAAAGAGUCCUUCUGCGCUGGGACAGGAUGAGGGCGAAGUGGUGACUUCAGGUCAGAAGCAGAGCCUUGGGGACCUCUGAUUCUCAAGGGCGAGCUCCCUCCAGAACCCCAAGAGAUGGCCCUGACUGCAUGGGAAAGCGUGUCUCACCAUUGCAAUGUUCUCUAAGUCUGGAGGAGGCGGAGCCCAGUGAGAAUGACAGGCAGACCGCAAGGAGGCCCGGAAGCCCCCCAUGGCGAGGAUGCAUCCAAGUGUAUUCUGUAGGAGUGACCAGUGGCCACGUGGGUAGUGGGCAGAGCUUGUUUUCCUCCAAUAUCAGCGUACAGAGCAGGGGAGCCUGGUGAAGGUUUCUCUCUGAAAUCAUGGAUUCAGCUGUAUUAGUUUCUAUCCAAGGCUGGCAUAGCUCACCUUCCACUCCAGCAAUGACCUCGGGCCAGCUGUCACGAGCCUUCUCACCACGAGGAUGGUCUGGGGUGGUGAGAUCUCACUGUUGGCCAUAAUUCAUUCAACAUUUCUUCACUUCUCUGCUUAAUUUUGGUCGAAUGUCAUGC